This is a long non-coding RNA of Megalobrama amblycephala (Wuchang bream), 1952 nucleotides long. RefSeq lists it as uncharacterized. The transcript is spliced from 3 exons. The record is from RefSeq and is a predicted model, not a curated record. Lineage: Eukaryota; Metazoa; Chordata; Actinopteri; Cypriniformes; Xenocyprididae.
UAGACAGGAAGCAAGUGGGAGAGAGAAAGGGGGGGACGGGAUCGGGAAAAGGUCCAUGAGCCGGCACUCAAACUCGGGUCACCCGAGCUGCCCACAAGGCUAUCAGCGCAGACGAUGGGACAUUAUUUUCAACUUGAUUGCAAUGUUGUAUUCUCCAUCAUUCAAUACAUUUUGCCUGUACGUAAAGGUACGUUGCAGAUUAAAAUCUAUAAAUCAAAAUAUUUAUUGCAUUUAUGAAGAAAAGUCUCGGCACCCAAGGCUCUAUCGCCUAUUGCCUCAAUGGUGUAUACUAGUGUCUUUGGGCGGAUUGCCAGCAACAGCCAUUUUAGGAUUGUUUGUGAUUUGGUCUUAGUGACAGGUGUCCUCUAUUCACAUAUUUAGGAGCUGGUUUUAGCACUAAAAUGCUUUGAGAAAUACUCUUAGAGCAAAAAUGUUUUCUAAGAGUUCUAAAAUUAGGAAUGACAUGUCCAAUAUUUUUAAGUUUGAAUGAGUGCUGCGAGUGAGGUGUCAGGGGCAAGUAAGCGCUCUCCCCCAAAAUGGUGCAGUUAUUCGUGCCAGAGCUGCCUGCAUUUCUUAACUUUCUUAUGAAAUAUUUUGACAUCUGAAGUGGAUUCAGCAUCUUUAUGCCAUUACAAGCAGCUUUUGUUGAUACAGUAAAUAAUAAAAUUCAUAGCCGUCAAUGCACACAUAUAUUUGUAAAUAAUACACUUCUUGAAGAGCCGUUUCAGCCAACAGCUAUAGGCUGAAACACAAGCCUGCACAGUUCUGAGAAGAAUCCACUUCAACAUGAUGUACAAACCAGAGUUUUCUACACCUUAAACUGGGUCAACUUAUCUUCUGAGAUUAUAAAAAAAAGGCCAAGCUGAAACAGUCAAAAAAGGCAAAAGAGAGACAACAGUAAGUUUAGAAAUUGAUAAAACAAUGUAAUUGUUUAAAAUAAGUACGCUGUUAUUAAUUUGUUGCGAGUGUUUUCAGUGGUUACGUUACUGUUUUUUCGCAGUUGCAGGAGAAGAGGUCAACAGAGACAAACAGAAAGAGCAUUUCAAAGGACAGAAAUGGUGGAGCUCAAUGUAAGAUGAGGAAGAUUGUUGUUGUUGAUGUGGAUGCAUGCAGGAGCUACAGUGAGGAAUGGAAUCUACUGGGACAUGUGUCAUUUACUGCUUUUGUUUGAAAUCUUUAACUGAAAAUAGAUGUUGUAUUUUUGUAUUGGGUUGGAGUCUAACUGCACAUCUGGCCUGCAACCAAUCAAAUUACUCACCUGCAAGGGUGGGAAGGGUUUUGGGUGGGAUAAAUUUAAAGUUUACCAAUGAAAUGACUUUUGAGGAAAGUCUGUGUGCUCAAUGGCCCAAUAGCUGUGUCUUGUGGGGGUGGGUUUAACACGAAUGACCAAAAGGGGAGGGCAGAAUGGCACAAAGGUGGGAAUGUCCCCUGAAAAAAAAUGUCACGUCAUGGCAACAAAUGGCCGUUGCAUGGAAGAAUACCUCAAUAACAUAUAUCCGAAUUGGUAUCAUUUCAGCACGGACCCAUGUUAUUUCCCAUAUCUGGUCAGUAAUACUCCCGGACUCGUCUGAAAUUCUGCGAUGGUAAUACUGGUCCAUAUACACCUCUUUUCAUGUUUUUGGAUCAACAGUCUGACAAGUGGAAAAAAAAAUUACCCACAGACAGAGUUUUCCAAAUUUUUGUGUUUUUUAUUGAUGAUGACCAGGAUGGUUCCCUUUACAGUAAAUCAGCAGAAAUCUACUUUUGCAUUGAGCUUUUAAAGACAGAAUGUUGAAUAUUGCACUAAAGAAGAAAAGAACUAAGAUUCAUACAGCGCCAAAGAACGAGGAAAUAUCACAGCAUCUUCUCGACAACAUCUUAGGGUAAACAGAAGCCAAGCCCAAUAAUAUAUGCAUAUUUCAGUACCAUAAAGACAAUUAGCUUCAAAUAUAUCUUCUUAAAAUAGUUUUGUU